Molecule: ribosomal RNA, 253 nt
Filed under: uncultured bacterium
Lineage: Bacteria
Description: partial 16S ribosomal RNA
Rfam family: Bacterial small subunit ribosomal RNA
Source: RNAcentral
UACGUAGGGUGCGAAUGUUACUCGGAAUUACUGGGCGUAAAGGGCCUGUAGGCGGUCAUACAAGUUAGCUGUUAAAGACCUAUGCCCAAAGUAGGGAGAGCAGCUAAUACUGUAUAGCUAGAGUACAGCAAGGGAUGGUGGAAUUCCCGGUGUAGGGGUGAAAUCUGUAGAGAUCGGGAGGAAUACCGAUGGCGAAGGCGACCAUCUAGGCUGAUACUGACGCUGAGGGGCGAAAGCCAGGGGAGCAAACGGG